RNAcentral lists this long non-coding RNA (283 nucleotides) under Hordeum vulgare. RNAcentral describes it as "long non-coding RNA (HVUL_LNC010011)". Lineage: Eukaryota; Viridiplantae; Streptophyta; Magnoliopsida; Poales; Poaceae. The record is from RNAcentral.
AACAUCCCAAUCAUUCAGAUUCUUAUUAGUUUGGCAGGCCCACGGUACAUUGAAAACUUGGGUCGCCCGUUGAGCCGUGAUAUAGACAUAGGGAGAAUCUAAAUGGGUGCUUUGUUCAAUUUCGACUAGCCCUAUAUGUUCACGAGUCCUUGUAGUCUCCUUUGGCUGGAACCAAUAACAUUUGAAGACUACAACGUUCGGUGGGUUUUCACCAUACAAUUGAAGUUCAUAAAUUUCUUCAACUCUUCCAUAAUACUGGGUACCUCCUUCGCCGAUAGCAGAG